This is a long non-coding RNA of Portunus trituberculatus (swimming crab), 2617 nucleotides long. RefSeq lists it as uncharacterized. The transcript is spliced from 2 exons. Lineage: Eukaryota; Metazoa; Arthropoda; Malacostraca; Decapoda; Portunidae. The record is from RefSeq and is a predicted model, not a curated record.
UUUUUAUUUUUUUUUUAUUUAUUUAUUUUAUUUUUUUUUGUGCAUUCAGUUCCUCCAGUGUUCUUUGAGAUCUUCCUUAAUUUUUCAAUCUUACCAUCAUUGUCUCUUAACUUCUUGCCUGUUAUGGUUUCUCCUUCAUUGAUUCUUGCUGCACUGAUUAAUUAAUGUCUGGUUUUCUAACAUUUCUGGGUUUCAUUUUCCACUCAUUAUUUUAUUUUUUUUUUGUUUUUAUCUCUGAUCAUUUGGUUGUGAGUGAGUGCAUGCGUGCACACCCGAUGUCACACAGUGAGUGGAAGUGUUCCUCCGCAAGUGAUGAGUGGUGGUGAGUUGGGUCAGAGUAGGAUGGCAGGACAGAAGGUCUGUUUUGCAGGUCAAGUUGGCCUUGUUGUCCCAAGUGGGUGUGAAAGAAUCUUUACUAAUACACAUUAAGGUGCAUUUCAUGAUGGCUUAAGGGUACUGAACCAUCUCUAUCUGAUACUGUGUUCCCUCCAAAGACUCCCUCCAGGGGGUGACCACAACAGGUAAGUGUACUGUUGUCUGCUGUCUGUCCCUUGCUUUGUAUACUCUUCCUCCCAGCCUCCCUCAUCCCUCUGCUCCACAGCCUCUCUCCCUCUCCACUCUUGCUCUAGUGGCCCACUUCUUUAUGCCUCUGUCACUCCCUCACUGUGUGGAUGUUUCCUGUGAAUUUGAUGAACUAUAUGAAUAAGCAAAUAUUGUUACCUCUCUGUCCAUAUUUUAUCAAACACAAAGCAUCUUUCUCAUAAUGAUUGAGUAUUAUUUCUUUGGCCAUCAUGAGGUGCACUGUAAUUGUGGGUUUGUCCCUUCCUGGAGUGUGGUGCACUCUGUCAGUCACAAUACAUUACACUAACCAUUCUAAGUCAAUAUUUUUUGCUCUUUUUAGUAGGAAUGUAGUCAAUUUCUAAGUCAUUUUUUCUCAUUUACAGAAAUUUUUUGUUUUAUUGCUUGGGCACUUUGCAUUAUCAAAGAUGAGUUUUUGAAAGCAGUGAUGUGAGGGUGAGCAAGGCUAUAUGGAGCCUUUUAAAAUGAUGGUGUGCAGUGAGUGUUGCACUCACAUCAAAGUGUUGAUAGUGAAAGUUGAGAAUGAACGUGAUUGGGUUGUUGAAAGGAACAGUGGACACGAAGAAAUGUAUUGCUUGUUCAUACAUUUGCAUCAGUGGCGGCAGCUUUCUUUGAUCCUGUGUGUAUGUUCCAUAUAUAUUCCUGAGCCACUGUUCUUGAGUCACACUGUGAGACUUUUUGAUGAUACAUUGUCUGCUUGAUUGAGAAGAACCAUCCAGAUCGUCUUUGCAAGUUUUGUCUUAGCUUUGAUGUUCAAUAUUUCAAUGCUUACAGAAGUAGACAUUUGUAAGUAUUUUAUUGUAUGUGUAGUGUAUAGAAUCAAUUGCAGAUAAUGCUUCUUUUUUAAUGUAGUUUUAGUGUUUUCACUUGCUAGAAAAAAAAUGAGUUAGUACUAUUUCUUCCCUCACACAUUCAUGGAAGAGGCAUGUAGAGAGAGUUACUUCAGUGGCAAUAAAGUCUAUAUAUUGUUAUUGCCAUUACAUUUUCAGUUAUACUCUUUUUCCUUUCAUUGUGUCCUAGUAUGUGGUUCUGUUGAGGUAGGCAUUCACUUUUCAGUAGCUUGCAGGACAUCCAUCUCAUGUGGACGAUUGAGGAAGUGCAAUCAUGUCAAACAAUCUGGUGACUUGCCAGGGAAGGUUUCUCCAUUCUGGUUACUGGUUCAUACUGUUGUUGGAGGCAUGUAUGGUAUUCAUGCAUAUUUUUCUACAUUCACAUGUAUGUCAUGAGAUCACCCUCUGUGAUGUUUGAAAGAACUUUAUGAAUAAUGAUAAGUUGUGCAUUAAAAUUCUAAUGAGAAAACUAGUGUCACAUUGUGCAAAAUCCUCUACAUGGACAUUUUUUGUUCAUGAUAAUGUGGUAAGGAGUCUGAUAAGCUGGGAGUGGUUUUUUGGAUGUGUACAACAUUGAGUCUGAAGAAUCAAGAAAUUACUUUUGGUGAUGGAUAUGAUGGUGGUGUGGUGUUUGUGAUGAUGAGAGUGAUGGAGUACAUAGAAAAUUGUGUCUAGGCUUGAUUUUAGAUGAAGCAGACCACCAUGGGAGGGGAUUGUGUGGCCAGGCAGGAUAGGUCGGUGGUGGCUGGUCUCUUCCAGAAGUGAGGGUUGGUGUCCUCUACCAUACCACAUGCCUCUUUGUGUUCUUUCUCUGCCUUCUAUCAAGCCAUUUUCAAACUUCAGUCUUUUCCAAGUGUUACAGGAAGCACAGAUGCAGUGUUGAGUUGCAUCCAAGAUGUGGCAAUUUCUGUGGCUGUCUGGCACCAGUUCACCCAAGCCAUGGAGUGGAAUGAACUUGCUGAGACAAGACUACAAGGAUUCUGAAGUGGACGAAGAUUGGCUGAGACAAGACUACAGUAACAUUUCCAUCCAUUGCAUCACUUUUCUCAUUAGUUUGUUGCUUAGCAUAGCAUCUCCAAGUCCCUAAAUCAUUAUAUAAUUUUUCUUACUUAAAGCCUCCAUUCAUUAUUAGUUAUAAAAAUAUUUUAGUAUCUUAUGAAGACUAAUAGUGUACUGUUGAGAAUAUACAUAGUGUACUGUUGAGAAUA